UAGCGUAUUCGUUUGACGUUAGCGACAGAAGAAAGCACCGGCUAACUCCGUCGCCAGCAGCCGCGGUAAUACGGAGGGUGCGAGCGUUAAUCGGAAUUACUGGGCGUAAAGCGCAUGCAGGUGGUUGUUAAGUCAGAUGUGAAAGACCGGGCGUCAACCUACGGAAUAGCAUUUGUAAACUAGGCAGACUAGAGUACUGUAGAGGGGGGUAGGAAUUUCAGGUGUAGCGGUGAAAUAGCGUAGAGAUCUGAAGGAAUACCGGUGGCGAAGGCGGCCCCUCGGACAGAUACUGACACUCAGAUGCGAAAGCGUGGGGAGCAAACAGGAUUAGAUACCCUGGUAG
Molecule: ribosomal RNA, 343 nt
Filed under: uncultured bacterium
Lineage: Bacteria
Description: bacterial SSU rRNA
Rfam family: Bacterial small subunit ribosomal RNA
Source: RNAcentral